This 217-nucleotide non-coding RNA is filed under the name Mesobacillus subterraneus. RNAcentral's name for it is "Bacillus subterraneus T-box sequence". It matches the Rfam family "T-box leader". From Rfam's summary of the family: Uncharged tRNA acts as the effector for transcription antitermination of genes in the T-box leader family. T-boxes are found upstream of many aminoacyl-tRNA synthetase genes and some amino acid biosynthetic genes usually in Gram-positive bacteria. The record is from RNAcentral. Lineage: Bacteria; Bacillati; Bacillota; Bacilli; Caryophanales; Bacillaceae.
AGUUAAGCGAUGAGAGGGAAUAGUAGCUUGUCUCCAUUCUGAAGAGAACCGGUGGUUGGUGCGAACCGGUGUCUGGAACAAAUGAAUCCGCCCUCGAGCAGAGUAUGGAACACCGUAUCGGCCAGUAAAUACUCUCGGUAAUAACCGUUAUUUUAAGAGUGGAGGGCAUUUUUGCCUUCAACUAGGGUGGCAACGCGGGUUAACUCUCGUCCCUUUU